AAACUUACAGAGCAUCAGAACACACGUGAUCACGAAGGCGUAGUUCUCGAGGUGACGUGGACUAGCACUAGGUCCAAUGUACCUUGCGCUUGGUCUCGAAUGAGCGCAGCGGAUGCUGAAUUUUUGAUAGUCUCGGGGUAGACCUGCAUUAACGCUUGUCAACCCCUC
Molecule: small nuclear RNA, 168 nt
Organism: Actinia tenebrosa (Australian red waratah sea anemone)
Lineage: Eukaryota; Metazoa; Cnidaria; Anthozoa; Actiniaria; Actiniidae
Source: RefSeq, a predicted model, not a curated record